AUUGAACGCUGGCGGCAUGCCUUACACAUGCAAGUCGAACGGUAACAGGUCUUCGGAUGCUGACGAGUGGCGAACGGGUGCGUAAUACAUCGGAACGUGCCCGAUCGUGGGGGAUAACGAGGCGAAAGCUUUGCUAAUACCGCAUACGAUCUACGGAUGACAGCGGGGGAUCUUCGGACCUCGCGCGGACGGAGCGGCCGAUGGCAGAUUAGGUAGUUGGUGGGAUAAAAGCUUACCAAGCCGACGAUCUGUAGCUGGUCUGAGAGGAUGAUCAGCCACAAGGGGACUGAGACACGGCCCAGACUCCUACGGGAGGCAGCAGUGGGGAAUUUUGGACAAAGGGCGAAAGCCUGAUCCAGGCAUGCCGCGUGCAGGAUGAAGGCCUUCGGGUUGUAAAAGGCUUUUGUACGGAACGAAAAGCCUCUUUCUAAUAAAGAGGGGUCAUGACGGUACCGUAAGAAUAAGCACCGGAUAACUACGUG
RNAcentral lists this ribosomal RNA (482 nucleotides) under uncultured bacterium. RNAcentral's name for it is "partial 16S ribosomal RNA". It matches the Rfam family "Bacterial small subunit ribosomal RNA", at positions 30 to 507 of the family's 1533-position model. The record is from RNAcentral.